AUACGAAGGUCCCACGCGUUAUUCGGAAUCACUGGGCGUAAAGAGUACGUAGGCGGUUUGGUAAGUCAGGUGUGAAAUCCCGGAGCUCAACUCCGGAACUGCAUCCGAUACUGCCAGACUUGAGUAAUGGAGAGGCAGGUGGAAUUCUCGGUGUAGCAGUGAAAUGCGUGGAUAUCGAGAGGAAGACCAAUGGCGAAGGCAGCCUGCUGGACAUUUACUGACGCUGAGGUACGAAGGCUAGGGGAGCGAAAGGGAUUAGAAACCCCAGUAGUCC
RNAcentral lists this ribosomal RNA (274 nucleotides) under uncultured bacterium. RNAcentral's name for it is "partial 16S ribosomal RNA". It matches the Rfam family "Bacterial small subunit ribosomal RNA", at positions 523 to 796 of the family's 1533-position model. The record is from RNAcentral.